RNAcentral lists this ribosomal RNA (219 nucleotides) under Bacteroides caecigallinarum. RNAcentral describes it as "partial 23S ribosomal RNA". It matches the Rfam family "Bacterial large subunit ribosomal RNA", at positions 929 to 1143 of the family's 2925-position model. The record is from RNAcentral. Lineage: Bacteria; Pseudomonadati; Bacteroidota; Bacteroidia; Bacteroidales; Bacteroidaceae.
UCACCGCCUAUCAAGUCCUGACAAACUCCGAAUGCGCAUCAGUUCGACCCCGGGAGUGAGGGCAUGGGUGCUAAGGUCCGUGCCCGAGAGGAGAACAAUCCGGACCAUCAGCUAAGGCCCCGAAAUGACAGCUAAGUUAAACUAACGAAGUCAGAUUGCUAAGACAGCUAGGAUGUUGGCUUGGAAGCAGCCAUUCAUUUAAAGAGUGCGUAACAGCUC